RNAcentral lists this ribosomal RNA (836 nucleotides) under Arthrobacter rhombi. RNAcentral describes it as "bacterial SSU rRNA". It matches the Rfam family "Bacterial small subunit ribosomal RNA", at positions 61 to 905 of the family's 1533-position model. The record is from RNAcentral. Lineage: Bacteria; Bacillati; Actinomycetota; Actinomycetes; Micrococcales; Micrococcaceae.
GUCGAACGAUGAUCCCGGUGCUUGCACCGGGGGAUUAGUGGCGAACGGGUGAGUAACACGUGAGUAACCUGCCCCCGACUCUGGGAUAAGCCCGGGAAACUGGGUCUAAUACCGGAUAUUCACUUCCUUCCGCAUGGGAGGUGGUGGAAAGAUUUAUCGGUGGGGGAUGGACUCGCGGCCUAUCAGCUUGUUGGUGGGGUAAUGGCCCACCAAGGCGACGACGGGUAGCCGGCCUGAGAGGGUGACCGGCCACACUGGGACUGAGACACGGCCCAGACUCCUACGGGAGGCAGCAGUGGGGAAUAUUGCACAAUGGGCGAAAGCCUGAUGCAGCGACGCCGCGUGAGGGAUGACGGCCUUCGGGUUGUAAACCUCUUUCAGUAGGGAAGAAGCGAAAGUGACGGUACCUGCAGAAGAAGCGCCGGCUAACUACGUGCCAGCAGCCGCGGUAAUACGUAGGGCGCAAGCGUUAUCCGGAAUUAUUGGGCGUAAAGAGCUCGUAGGCGGUUUGUCGCGUCUGCCGUGAAAGUCCGGGGCUCAACCCCGGAUCUGCGGUGGGUACGGGCAGACUAGAGUGAUGUAGGGGAGACUGGAAUUCCUGGUGUAGCGGUGAAAUGCGCAGAUAUCAGGAGGAACACCGAUGGCGAAGGCAGGUCUCUGGGCAUUAACUGACGCUGAGGAGCGAAAGCAUGGGGAGCGAACAGGAUUAGAUACCCUGGUAGUCCAUGCCGUAAACGUUGGGCACUAGAUGUGGGGGACAUUCCACGUUUUCCGCGUCGUAGCUAACGCAUUAAGUGCCCCGCCUGGGGAGUACGGCCGCAAGGCUAAAACUCAAA